GACGAACGCUGGCGGCGUGCUAAACACAUGCAAGUCGAACGGUAAGGCCCUUCGGGGUACACGAGUGGCGAACGGGUGAGUAACACGUGGGUGAUCUGCCCUGCACUUCGGGAUAAGCCUGGGAAACUGGGUCUAAUACCGGAUAGGACUCCGGACUGCAUGGUCUGGGGUGGAAAGCUUUUGCGGUGUGGGAUGGGCCCGCGGCCUAUCAGCUGGUUGGUGGGGUGAUGGCCUACCAAGGCGACGACGGGUAGCCGGCCUGGGAGGGUGACCGGCCACACUGGGAAUGAGAUACGGCCCAGACUCCUACGGGAGGCAGCAGUGGGGAAUAUUGCACAAUGGGCGCAAGCCUGAUGCAGCGACGCCGCGUGAGGGAUGACGGCCUUCGGGUUGUAAACCUCUUUCAGCAUCGACGAAGCGAAAGUGACGGUAGGUGCAGAAGAAGGACCGGCCAACUACGUGCCAGCCGCCGCAGUAA
This 478-nucleotide ribosomal RNA is filed under the name uncultured bacterium. RNAcentral describes it as "partial 16S ribosomal RNA". It matches the Rfam family "Bacterial small subunit ribosomal RNA", at positions 28 to 523 of the family's 1533-position model. The record is from RNAcentral.